This 2403-nucleotide ribosomal RNA is filed under the name Candidatus Pacebacteria bacterium CG10_big_fil_rev_8_21_14_0_10_40_26. Its description in RNAcentral is "bacterial LSU rRNA". It matches the Rfam family "Bacterial large subunit ribosomal RNA", at positions 1 to 2459 of the family's 2925-position model. Lineage: Bacteria; Bacillati; Minisyncoccota. The record is from RNAcentral.
GUAAAUUAAUGCAAAUAGUGGAUGCCUUGGCUUAUUUGGCCGAAGAAGGACGCGUACCCCGCGAAAGUCGACGAGUAACUGGGAAAAAGUAAUGAUCCGUCGGUGUCCGAAUAGGGUAACCUUGCUACAUGAAGAUGUAGUGGCCCUAGAACCUUGAGUUCUAGGGGGGAAACGUGCCGAACUGAAAUAUCUAAGUAGGUGCAGGAAAAGAAAUCGUAAGAGAUUCCCUUAGUAAGCGACGAGCGAACAGGGAAAAGCACAAACCAGCAUUUAUGCUGGGGUUGUAGGACUUCAAUAUCGUAUUCUUAAGAGUAAUAGAACACCGUGGAAUAGGUGACCAAAGAGAGUGAAAGUCUCGUACAUAAAACUUGAUAGAAGCGUAGAAGUAUCCUGAGUAGGUUAGGAGACGGCAAACUCCUUUCUGAAUCUGGGGUGACCACACUCCAAUGCUAAAUACCAAAUAAGACCGAUAGUGAACGAGUACCGUGAGGGAAAGGUGAAAAGAAGGGUUGAAGACCCCGUGAAAUAGAAUCUGAAACUAUUUGCUAACAAUCAGAGAAAGCACAUUUAUUGUGUGAUCUCGUGCCUAUUGAAGAAUGAGCCGGCGAGUAUUUGAUAACUGCUUUAGGUUAAGACAUUCCGUGUCGAAGCCGUAGUGAAAGCGAGCCUGAAUAGGGCGACCCUUGUAGUUAUUGAAUGACCCGAAACCGGGUGAGCUUACCAUGGCCAGGUUGAAGCCCUGAUAAUAUCGGGGUGGAGGACCGAACCGGUGUAUGCUGCAAGAUGCUCGGAUGAGCUGUGGUAAGAGGUAAUAUGCCAAUCGAACCCGGAGAUAGCUGGUUCUCCCUGAAAUAUAUUUAGGUAUAGGGUCGCGUGAAGUCAUAGGGGGGUAGAGCACUGAUCUGGUGUCUGGGAAGCAAUUUUCAGCACCUAGUUAAACUCCGAAUACCCUAUUGAUGUUUCGCGGCACUCAGCACCUGGGAGCUAAGUUCCAGGAGCAAAAGGAAAACAAACCAGACCUACAGCUAAGGUCUCAAAUACAUAUUUAGUGGGAAAGGAAGUGUUGUCCCAAAAACACCUAGGAGGUCGGCUCAGAAGCAGCCAUCCUUUAAAGAAAGCGUAACAGCUCACUAGCCGAGGGACAGCGCGCCGAAAAUCCAACGAGGCUCAAAUAUGUAACCGAAGCUUAGGGUUUUCAACAAGAUUUAUCUUGUUGGGAGCGGUAAGGGAGCGUUCUGUGUGCUUUGAAGGUGCCCCGUGAGGAGGCGCUGGAGCGAUCAGAAGUGAGAAUGCCGGCAUGAGUAGCGAAAUUGGGGUGAGAAUCCCCGACUCCGAAUGACCAAGGUUUCCGCACCCACGNNNNNNNNNNNNNNNNNNNNNNNNNNNNNNNUAUCAUUUGACUUGGGGAGGGACGGCGAAGGAUAACAUGUGCGCAGCGGUGAAUGUUGCGUCUAAGCACAAAAGCAGUCCGGAUAGGCAAAUCCGUUCGGGCGUUUAUCUGAUGUGUUAUGGAACACCGAUUCUUCGGAUGAAGUGUUACGUGCGAUUUCAUUGUCCUGGAAAAGCUUCGCAAGGAGAUAUUAAUCAAAUCGUACCGAUAACCGACACAGGUGGUCAGGUCGAGUAGACUAAGGAGAGCGAGAGAAGGUAGUUUAAGGAAUUCGGCAAAACAGCUGGGCGUAAUUUAGAGAGAUGCCCUCCUCUUUACAGCAAUGUAAAGAGGCGCAGUGAAUGUCAUGGGGUUGACUGUUUACCAAAAACACAGGUCUGUGCAAACUCGUAAGAGGAAGUAUACGGGCUGAAGCCUGCCCAGUGCCGGAAGGUUAACUGCGAGGGUGGUCGUACUUGUACGAACGCCUUCAAUGGAAGCCCCGGUGAACGGCAGCAGUAACUAUAACUGUUCUAUGGUAGCGAAGUUCCUUGUCGCUUAAUUGGCGACCCGCACGAAAGGUUUAACAAGCCCCAUACUGUCUUGAACUAUUACUCGGCGAAAUUGAAAUGGCUGUGAAGAUGCGGCCUACUGACGGCAGGACAAAAAGACCCCGUAGAGCUUUACUACAACUUGGCACUGAGAAUGUGUAUGGAAUCGUUUAGUAUAGGUGGGAGAAUCCUUCAUUUUGAUGGAUUCAUCAGUGAAAUACCACCCGUUUCGUACAUAUUUUCUAACUUAAGAUCAAUGCAAACUUGAUCAAGGACACUGUCUGGUGGGUAGUUUAACUGGGGAGGUUGCUUGCUAAAGAGUAACGCAAGCGCGCAAUGGUACCCUUAGCCUGGAUGGAAAUCAGGCUGUACGUGCAAUAGCAGAUGGGUGCUUUACUGUGAGGCAUACAAGCCGAGCAGUUGCGAAAGCAGGUUAUAGUGAUCCUCGUGUGUUUUGUGGAAGACACCGGGCUUAUCGGAUAA